RNAcentral lists this long non-coding RNA (227 nucleotides) under Elaeis guineensis (African oil palm). Its description in RNAcentral is "long non-coding RNA (EGUI_LNC016937)". Lineage: Eukaryota; Viridiplantae; Streptophyta; Magnoliopsida; Arecales; Arecaceae. The record is from RNAcentral.
AGAGGGUUAUUAGCCUAGACGAUGAAGUUUUAUGAUCCUUUUUUUUUUUGUCAUUACUCCCACAUAGAAGAGACUUUAGCUUUUAUAAAUUUUUAAUAUAGUACGAAGAAUCUUUUUAACAGGGUUAAAAAAUACUUGAUGAUAAUUGCAGUUUUUCUCCACGGUCAACUCGGAGGGGCCAUGCAUCUUAUUGGGGUCCAAAAGAUUAAAAUGGAUAACAUAAGAGU